GGGGCGCAASUGAUCUAGCCAUGCCGCGUGGGUGAAGAAGGCCUUCGGGUUGUAAAGCCCUUUUGGCGGGGACGAUGAUGACGGUACCCGCAGAAUAAGCCCCGGCUAACUUCGUGCCAGCAGCCGCGGUAAGACGAAGGGGGCAAGCGUUGUUCGGAAUUACUGGGCGUAAAGGGCGCGUAGGCGGCCCGAUGAGUCAGACGUGAAAGGCCUGGGCUCAGCCUAGGAAUUGCGUUUGAUACUGUUGGGCUAGAGAGCGGGAGAGGAUGGUGGAAUUCCCAGUGUAGAGGUGAAAUUCGUAGAUAUUGGGAAGAACACCGGUGGCGAAGGCGGCCAUCUGGACCGUAUCUGACGCUGAGGCGCGAAAGCGUGGGGAGCAAACAGGAUUAGAUACCCUGGUAGUCCACGCUGUAAACGAUGAGUGCUGGACGUUGGUGGGCUUGCCUGCCGGUGUCGCAGCUAACGCAUUAAGCACCCCGCCUGGGGAUUACGACCGCAAGUUA
This 503-nucleotide ribosomal RNA is filed under the name uncultured bacterium. Its description in RNAcentral is "bacterial SSU rRNA". It matches the Rfam family "Bacterial small subunit ribosomal RNA", at positions 373 to 896 of the family's 1533-position model. The record is from RNAcentral.